This 542-nucleotide long non-coding RNA is filed under the name Trifolium pratense (red clover). RNAcentral's name for it is "long non-coding RNA (TPRA_LNC012676)". Lineage: Eukaryota; Viridiplantae; Streptophyta; Magnoliopsida; Fabales; Fabaceae. The record is from RNAcentral.
UAGAGGUUCUUCCCAAAUUGAAGGGUCUCUUGCAAUUGCCCAAGCAUUCACUAUUACCUGUGUUCCAGCUGCAAUGUCAUAGCCAUCUAGUUUGAUAUCUUCCAUAGAUUUCCGAGGGACUAAUAAUGGAAUCGGGGCGUGCAGGCGAAGAGUUUCUUUGAUCACAGCUUUCAAGUAGUUCAUGUUAACCAAAUCGUCUUCAGUUACCUGAGUUUUUUUUCCAACCACAGUUCUGACCUCAUCUUGCAAUUUAUGCAUCACAGUUUGGUGUCUUAACAAUUCUGUCAUUUCCCAUUCUAGGACUGUGUAGGUAGUGUCUGUACCUGCAGCAAACAUGUCCUACAUGCAGGGAAAAACGCUCAAUUUAAAUUACACUACCAUACCUCGCUUAUUCCACAAAUUGAAUGUUUCUAACAAUAUAUUAUUAAAUAUCUAAAAGAAACAAAUUUAUACACAAAAUACAUCUAAAUAAUAAAAGCGGAAAAAUGGACAUGUUAGAGUCUGCUAUAAAAUACAGUAUUAUGCAGAAAAGGGAAGACACC